This 227-nucleotide ribosomal RNA is filed under the name uncultured archaeon. Its description in RNAcentral is "partial 16S ribosomal RNA". It matches the Rfam family "Archaeal small subunit ribosomal RNA", at positions 23 to 246 of the family's 1478-position model. The record is from RNAcentral.
GCUACUGCUAUUGGGGUUCGGCUAAGCCAUGCGAGUGGAGGGCGUCCCGCAAGGGAUGGCCCCGCAGACGGCUCAGUAACACGUCGUCAACCCACCUUAGGGUGGGGGACAACCUCGGGAAACUGAGGAUAAUCCCCCAUAGGCGGGGAGGCUAGAAUGCGCCCCCGCUGAAAGCUCAGGCGCCCUAGGACGGGACGGCGGCCUACCAGGUAGUUGGUGGUGUGACG